GUAUUUGGUCUUUAUACAAAGCAUUGCAUCAGCGACAAAGUCCAAAAAUAAUAAUGUGGCGUUUGUUUGUUUUGGGGAUACUGUUUGGGAGAUCAGAUGCUGAAGAGCCCUCUUGCCCAGUAUGUUCCAGAUAUGACUACGAAGUACAACUGCUAGAGCGAGUGCUUAGCAAUGAGAUGGCACUGAAAAACACAUUGGACAAAAUAACUGAAACACACUCAAAAGUUGAAGACACUUUGAAAGCAAUAAAGGCAGAGAAUAUCAAACUCAACGACGCUAUGACUGAAUUGGACAUAAAGAAGAAAGACAUUGAUACUAAGCUUGCGAGUGCCAUCAAGCCGGGAUGACACAAGUCUUCGACACUGUUUCCGAAAUGAAAACAACUGUGCAGGCUAUUGUUCAGGAAACGGAAUCAAAGAUGCAGGUUCUUGAGGAUAAAGUAAGCAGUUUCAUCGAAAUUGGUUUUAGGAAUGUUUCCGAAACGUUUGAGGAAAUGACAAAAACAGUCCAGUCACUUGUUGCACAGACAGCGACGGAAAUAAAUGUGACGAGAGAGAAAAGUGUCGCGGCACUGGUAAUGUUUAGCGCUCAAUUAUUUCAUUACGACAGUCAAUAUACAUUAACUGUCAGCCAUGACAUUGUGUUUCAAUACAUUCUGGUCAACGAAGGAAGAUCUUAUAACUCUGCAAAUGGACGCUUCACGGCGUCCGUAGCUGGGGUGUACAUGUUCACCGUGCAGUACUGUCCAUACACGAACAAGAAGAUUUACCUUGAUAUCGUUCAUGCAGGAAGAUCGUUACAGUGCUCAACAAACUGGGAGAGAGAUGAUAUCGUCUGUGCCAGUAUGCAGGCCUUUGCAAAGGUUGCCGUGGGAGAUACAAUCUCUGUGCGGAGUAGACAUUCUGGUAUCCUCUACCAUAACAGCAAUUCUUGGAACAGCUUUUCUGGUUUACUGAUUCGUGUGUAAUGUUCUGUUUGCAAGUUUGUGUGCGACUAAAUAAUAAUGCGAAGAAAAUAAGAAAUAUUCUCAUAUUGGUGCAUGUAUUAAGUUGCAUGCACACAUAUUGUGCUUGAUUAUGCAUGUAAAUGCUUGUGGUAUUAUGCUAAAACAUUCCAGUUCUUAUUGGGUAUUCAUAUCUUAUUUACCAUAUUAAUUAUCUCGGAUGUUUGCGGUUUAUGAAGAGUAUACAUCUUACAAUAUGUUGUUAACCACUGCAAAUGCAUUAACACAAAUCUUGAAUGUUUAAAAUGACAUAGGGACAACUAAUUGGCGUCGCACUGAAGUGCGGCGACUAGUAUGUAAUACGUUUUUUUUUCGCUUAUGGGAGGAGAAGUUAUUUUAAGGAUCAAUGUAUAUAUUUUUGUUGUCAGAAUAUCUUGCAUAGUGGUGAUUUUUGUGUGUAAAUUAGUGUAAAUAAGUACUGCAUUUGUGCCUAUCACAUUUACUACAACAUUUAUUGCCAAUAAUGCAAAGCUCAUUCUUUUAAUUAAUAACUGAUCACAGGGACUGGGCAAUAAUGAAAGAUCACAGGAACAGGGCAAAUACGCGAACCGGUGAAACUUUCUGGUUUUGUAUAAAAACAAAACUUCUUUGUUCCACUAUACUAGCAACCACCUAGUAACUAAUAAAGGCGCUUUAGAGCGCGAAGCGCGACACGUAUUAUUAAUUGUAAAAAUAAUGAGUCUUGAUAAAGGAAGCAGCCGCUUAUCAAUGAGGAGAACCAUCACAGCACCCCAGUCUCAUUACUAUCAAGUCCUCCUACAGGUUUUUUUUAAGAACCACACAUAGAAGGCCGCAGGCCUGACCCGUAUCUUGCCAGUGGUAUGGACCCUUUGGUAUGGACCUUUAACCCCGCUCACUAUCCAGCGUUUAAACUUCCAGGUUUACAUUUAAACCGACUAUUAAUAGCUUAUUAAUAUCUUAGUUAGAAGGUGAUUUUUCAUGCGGUUCCGUAGUGUAGUGGUUACACGCUCGCGUGUAAGGGAGAGGGUGGGGGGUCGUAAACACAUUAAAACUAUGAGUACUUAACCCCUAUCGUAAAUGAGCAACGUAAGAAUAAGUUCAGAAUCAUCUCCCCUUGAAUUUGAGAAAAUUAUGAAAUUACAUUUAAAAGAUGAAGCAGAUUUUUUAAAACCUACACAGUUCUGUUCCAUUUAUGAAAACUGCACACGGAUGCCAGUAAAAAAGGAAAACAAAGUAAAUAAAAUGAACUAUGAAAUACUUGGGGGUUACAACACAAAAUCAUAGAUAAUGGUUAUUUGGGGGUUAUAACACAACAUCAUAGAUAAUGGUUAUUUGGGGGUUAUAACACAAAAUCAUAGAUAAUGGUUAUACCAGUAUCUUUUUCUAUUUUGUUUAAAAUAAUCGGCAAAUAUAUUAAUAUUUACAGUAGAAAAAAAUCGUUACAUGUAACUUCAUUGAGUGCCUUUUACACUGAAAUUCCCGACGCCCUUUGAUGCUUUGCAUCAAUACUUAUCUUGUAUUACAUUGUAAUAAAACAUUUAUUAUUAUCUCUCAUUACUUGACUUAAUAAUUCAUUUAUUCAUAGAUCUGACCUUGGUUAGCACAUAGUGAAAUUUAUCUUUCAUGUAGUUUGAUUCCAGGACACUACCAGGAUGCGGGAAAAUCACUUGUGGUGGAAAUCUCGUUAGGGAAGAUAUUUGCAAAAAUACCACCAUAGACAUGUACGCUCAUUGAUAUAUUUCAUAUUGUAUAUUGUACUAUAACGUUGUUAAAUUCGAAUUGUAGUUUUCAAUUGUUUCCGAAUACGUUCGUAUUGGAUUUGACUGGUUUUGAGGUGCAAUUAUUAUUGAUUGGCAAAAGGCAAUAAUUUUUCCGUGAAUCUAUAAUAAGGCUCGUGGCACAUUGAUAGAGGUUAAUAAUAGUUGAUUAGUGUUCAUUGAACGUGUAAUUUUGUUCAAUGAUCACUCCUUUAAAUUUUUGAUUAACCGAAAUAAAAGUACGGACAAAUAUAAUAUAACUGUACAUGCA
Dreissena polymorpha is the source of this 2992-nucleotide long non-coding RNA. RefSeq lists it as uncharacterized. The record is from RefSeq and is a predicted model, not a curated record. The transcript is spliced from 2 exons. Lineage: Eukaryota; Metazoa; Mollusca; Bivalvia; Myida; Dreissenidae.